Molecule: ribosomal RNA, 684 nt
Filed under: Triticum aestivum (bread wheat)
Lineage: Eukaryota; Viridiplantae; Streptophyta; Magnoliopsida; Poales; Poaceae
Description: partial small subunit ribosomal RNA
Source: RNAcentral
AUGGAUUUCACAAUUCAGUACUUUGAGAGGCGGCAAGCUGAGAACCCUCAAUUCUACUAUGCAAAAACAGUUGACAAGGAGACCAACUCUGUCACAGGGCUCUUUUGGGUGGAUGGGAGGACAAGGGCAUUGUACCCCAAGUACAAAGAUUGUAUCUUCUUUGAUACAACAUUUUGCACAAAUCGGUACAACAUGUCGUUCGCUCCGAUUGUUGGAGUGAACAACCACUUGCAAACGGUGUUGCUGGGUUGUGCACUGUUGCCAAAUGAACAGAUUGAAACUUUCAAGUGGGUGUCCCAGCAUUUUUUGCUUGCGAUGAACAAUGAACACCCAUUAAACAUUAUGACCGACCAGGACAAGGCCAUGGAAACUGCCAUAUCUCAAGUGCUGCCAAACAUGGUGCAUAGAUGCUGCAAAUGGCACGUCCAACGAAAAGCGCGUGAGAAGUUGGGCAGGAUAAUGAGUAAGGAUGAGGUUUUUGAGCAAGCUUUCUACACUUGCAUCAAUGAUUCUGACACGGUUGAUGAAUUUGAAGAGAAUUGGCAGCACAUGAUACAUUGCUUCGACUUGGUUGAUAAUAGGCAUCUAUGCAACAUGUGGAAGACUCGUGAAACCUGGGCUCCAGCAUUCUUUCGGAAGUGUUUUUCCCCUUUACAAGCACUACGGGGAGGUCAGAGGGACUAA